RNAcentral lists this ribosomal RNA (475 nucleotides) under bacterium BCM54. RNAcentral's name for it is "bacterial SSU rRNA". It matches the Rfam family "Bacterial small subunit ribosomal RNA", at positions 59 to 514 of the family's 1533-position model. RNAcentral also lists the same sequence under 1 other name. The record is from RNAcentral.
CAGUCGAGCGGAACGAGUUAUCUGAACCUUCGGGGAACGAUAACGGCGUCGAGCGGCGGACGGGUGAGUAAUGCCUAGGAAAUUGCCCUGGUGUGGGGGAUAACCAUUGGAAACGAUGGCUAAUACCGCAUAAUACCUACGGGUCAAAGAGGGGGACCUUCGGGCCUCUCGCGUCAGGAUAUGCCUAGGUGGGAUUAGCUAGUUGGUGAGGUAAUGGCUCACCAAGGCGACGAUCCCUAGCUGGUCUGAGAGGAUGAUCAGCCACACUGGAACUGAGACACGGUCCAGACUCCUACGGGAGGCAGCAGUGGGGAAUAUUGCACAAUGGGCGCAAGCCUGAUGCAGCCAUGCCGCGUGUGUGAAGAAGGCCUUCGGGUUGUAAAGCACUUUCAGUCGUGAGGAAGGUAGUGUAGUUAAUAGCUGCAUUAUUUGACGUUAGCGACAGAAGAAGCACCGGCUAACUCCGUGCCAGCAG